GGACGAACGCUGGCGGCGUGCUUAACACAUGCAAGUCGAGCGGUAAGGCCCUUUCGGGGGUACACGAGCGGCGAACGGGUGAGUAACACGUGGGUGACCUGCCCUCAGCUCUGGGAUAAGCCUGGGAAACCGGGUCUAAUACUGGAUAUGACUCCAUGACGCAUGUUGUGGGGUGGAAAGCCUUGUGCGGCUGAGGAUGGGCCCGCGGCCUAUCAGCUUGUUGGUGGGGUGAUGGCCUACCAAGGCGACGACGGGUAGCCGGCCUGAGAGGGCGACCGGCCACACUGGGACGUGAGACACGGCCCAGACUCCUACGGGAGGCAGCAGUGGGGAAUCUUGCGCAAUGGGCGAAAGCCUGACGCAGCGACGCCGCGUGAGGGAUGACGGCCU
Molecule: ribosomal RNA, 390 nt
Filed under: uncultured bacterium
Lineage: Bacteria
Description: bacterial SSU rRNA
Rfam family: Bacterial small subunit ribosomal RNA
Source: RNAcentral